AUGAUGAUUGACCAAUCACCAUCUUUCGGCUGA
Molecule: small nucleolar RNA, 33 nt
Filed under: Stegastes partitus (bicolor damselfish)
Lineage: Eukaryota; Metazoa; Chordata; Actinopteri; Pomacentridae
Source: RNAcentral